Molecule: long non-coding RNA, 854 nt
Organism: Pipistrellus kuhlii (Kuhl's pipistrelle)
Lineage: Eukaryota; Metazoa; Chordata; Mammalia; Chiroptera; Vespertilionidae
Exons: 2
Source: RefSeq, a predicted model, not a curated record
CGGUGGGCGGGACUAGACGCAGCCAAUCGGAGCCCACGAGCCCCGUGGUGAUAGGCUGCGCCGGCGGGAGGGCGGGGCUGGGGCGGUGCGGGCCGCGCGCAGGCGGAGCGGCGGCUGGGGAGCCGCGCGGGGUUCAGGUGGCGCCCGCGCCCCGCUGGGUGCUAAGAGGCGAGACCAGGGGGCGCCGGCCGCGUGGGCCAGGCAUUGUCCGGUCACCGGAGCCGGCCCCGCCUGCAGAAAGUUAGGGAGAGGUAGAAACAUCAGUGAUGAAAGAGAAUCAUUGAUUGGCUGCGGCCUGCAGGCCACGGAGCCCACAUCGCCGCCACAGUCCCGGAAUGAAACCGUGACCUCCUGGCUCAUAAGUCCCAGCUCAGCCAAGCCAGGCCUGCCAGGCGCUAACUGUUCUCUUUACAGGAUGCCUGUAGAGACUUGGCCUCUUACCGGUAUUGCUCCUGUUCCUUGGCCUCUUUACUUGGGGUGUAGUGGGGCAGUGGGGAGGGGAGAGCUAGUCUGGGUUUGGCCAGUGCAAAACCCAGUUAAGGAACUGACAGCAAGUCCCAAAUGGAGUCUUUUGUAUCAAGCCCAAGUCUCAAACAAAGACUUAAUACUUACUCUAAUUGCAGCUUCACUUUCUUCCUGGAAUGUAACCUUUAACUUUUCAGCCUGGGGUUACCUGAUAAGACCCCUUCCUGCUGCCGAGGGCUACCUUGUCUAAAACAAUGUGUUCUUGGCCAAUACUUUCCUUUUUCCACCUUUAAAACCAUUUCUUUUCUGCAGCCGGGCUGAGCUUUUUGCUGGAUGGAUGCUGCCCAAUUCAGAAUCAGUGAAUAAAGCCAAUUAGAUCUUUACAUUUA